This 72-nucleotide transfer RNA is filed under the name Loxodonta africana (African savanna elephant). It matches the Rfam family "tRNA". Rfam says of the family: Transfer RNA (tRNA) molecules are approximately 80 nucleotides in length. The record is from Rfam by way of RNAcentral. Lineage: Eukaryota; Metazoa; Chordata; Mammalia; Proboscidea; Elephantidae.
GCCCUGGUGGCGCAAUGGUUAUGCAUUCAGUUGCUAACAGAAAGGUCAGUGGUUCAAACCCACCCAGUGGCU